Molecule: ribosomal RNA, 463 nt
Filed under: uncultured bacterium
Lineage: Bacteria
Description: bacterial SSU rRNA
Rfam family: Bacterial small subunit ribosomal RNA
Source: RNAcentral
GGACCCGCACAAGCGGUGGAGCAUGUGGUUUAAUUCGAAGCAACGCGAAGAACCUUACCAGGUCUUGACAUCUCUUGCAUAUCUUAGAGAUAAGAGAAACCCUUCGGGGCAAGAAGACAGGUGGUGCAUGGUUGUCGUCAGCUCGUGUCGUGAGAUGUUGGGUUAAGUCCCGCAACGAGCGCAACCCUUAUAACUAGUUGCCAGCAUUCAGAUGGGGACUCUAGUUAGACUGCCGGUGACAAACCGGAGGAAGGUGGGGAUGACGUCAAAUCAUCAUGCCCCUUAUGACCUGGGCUACACACGUGCUACAAUGGAUGGUACAACGAGUCGCUAACUCGCAAGAGCAUGCCAAUCUCUAAAAGCCAUUCUCAGUUCGGAUUGUAGUCUGCAACUCGACUACAUGAAGCCGGAAUCGCUAGUAAUCGCGGAUCAGCACGCCGCGGUGAAUACGUUCCCGGGUCUU